UAGGGCGAACGGGUGAGUAAUACAUAAGCAACCUACCCACCGAAGACUGGGGAUAAAUCUCUGGAAACGGGGACUAAUACCGGAUAGGUAAUCGGAAAGGCGAUCUUCUGAUUAUUAAAGGUUAAAAAACACUGGUGGAUGGGCUUAUGGCGCAUUAGUUAGUUGGUGAGGUAACGGCCCACCAAGACGAUGAUGCGUAGCCGGCCUGAGAGGGUGAACGGCCACAUUGGGACUGAGACACGGCCCAG
RNAcentral lists this ribosomal RNA (248 nucleotides) under uncultured bacterium. RNAcentral describes it as "partial 16S ribosomal RNA". It matches the Rfam family "Bacterial small subunit ribosomal RNA", at positions 94 to 334 of the family's 1533-position model. The record is from RNAcentral.